GGGUGCGAUCAUACCAGCACUAAUGCACCGGAUCCCAUCAGAACUCCGAAGUUAAACGUGCUUGGGCUAGAGUAGUACUAAGAUGGGUGACCUCUUAGGAAGUACUCGUGUUGCACCCC
RNAcentral lists this ribosomal RNA (119 nucleotides) under Ricinus communis (castor bean). Lineage: Eukaryota; Viridiplantae; Streptophyta; Magnoliopsida; Malpighiales; Euphorbiaceae. The record is from RNAcentral.